RNAcentral lists this ribosomal RNA (461 nucleotides) under uncultured bacterium. RNAcentral's name for it is "partial 16S ribosomal RNA". It matches the Rfam family "Bacterial small subunit ribosomal RNA", at positions 338 to 795 of the family's 1533-position model. The record is from RNAcentral.
CCUACGGGUGGCAGCAGUGAGGAAUAUUGGUCAAUGGGCGCGAGCCUGAACCAGCCAAGUAGCGUGAAGGAUGACUGCCCUACGGGUUUUAAACUUCUUUUAUAAAGGAAUAAAGUGAGGCACUUGUGCCUUUUUGUAUGUACUUUAUGAAUAAGGAUCGGCUAACUCCGUUCCAGCAGCCGCGGUAAUACGGAGGAUCCGAGCGUUAUCCGGAUUUGUUGGGUUUAAAGGGAGCGUAGAUGGGUUGUUAAGUCAGUUGUGAAAGUUUGCGGCUCAACCGUAAAAUUGCAAUUGAUACUGGCAGUCGUGAGUACAGUUGAGGUAGGCGGAAUUCGUAGUGUAGCGGUGAAAUGCUGAGAUAUCACGAAGAACUCCGAUUGCGAAGGCAGCUUACUAAACUGCCACUGACAUUGAUGCUCGAAAGUGUGGGUAUCAAACAGGAUUAGAUACCCCUGGUAGUC